CUGCCAUAUCUGGAGAUUUAGGGGCGCCUUCUCUAAAAAAGUGUCCGGGGGGUUUCAGCCAACACCUAGCCCUCAUCAGUGAUGGGUGCCAAGUAUCUUACUGUGUCAAGUCUGGGCUUUUUACAGGAGGGUUUCUACCUCCUGCCAGGCUUCCACCUUACACCCGACCACCCCUCAUGAGUCAGGCUGCCACCAACACUGUCAUGCUGUCAUCGCCCUGGCCAUCUAUGGCACCCGGAAGUACAAGAACAGGGGCUACCAGGCGGUCCAGGAUGAGAGGCAGAGUUUGGUUCCAGGUGCUGCAGUGACUGGAGACGCCCUUGACCAAGGGCAGGAGCAGAGUCCAGCCUAGGUCCUCCCUGGAAACAGAUGCUCUCAUCUCCAGCCAGCCCAUCACGUGUGUCUUUCAUUUUCCUUUCUUCACGUCUGCCUUCCUAAGUGCAACCAAUAGCAGGUACAACUUUGUGACUUUCUUAGGUCUCUGGGCUAAGAAAUGAACAGAGCUACGUGGACCAGGUUGGAGGAAGGGUUGGAUAGUGGUGGUGAUUUUUUUUUUUCUUAAGCAAACAUCAUCCUAGGGCCUAAAGCAUGAGGGUGGUGUCUUUUCUCUAUGUGCCUCAUCAAGUAUCUUCACCUGAAUGCUUAUGUGUAUAAAGAAGCAAGGGAGGAUGUUAACAUUUGAAUUCGGAGAUGAUGCAUUUAAUCGGAGGUCAGCCAUGGACUCCAAUUCAUGAGCUGUAAGACUUCCUUCCAUUAAGGGUUACCCUCCCACUAUUUUGUGUUUAUUUAAAGCUGUCUGGAUUUCAUGCUCCUAGAGGCGGACAAAGCCCCCAGAUGUCCUGGUUGGCUACUGCUUUUCAGCUCUGCAGGCUCCUGUUGAUGGCAUGUUUCAUUUCCUCUGGGUCAUCCCCACCACGGCAUCUGAACAGAGAGAGGUGCCUGUACCAAGCACACGUUUUCCAACUUCCCCACAAUCCAGACUUACGUAGACCAGGCCACCCUUGGACUUCAGGCCAGUGUCACAAAGUCCUCAGGAAAUAUUUUAAGAUAUAAACUUCAAUUAAAAUGUCAAGGGAGAAGAGAUAAUUGGGAGACGAGGAGUGAAUGAAGGAAAGAUGAAAGCUGGAAAAGAUUCUAGGGCUCAUGGGGAAUUGGAAUUCUUACCCACAGCCAACUCCCUGGUUUCAUCCUCUUAACUCGUCAGAAAUGGGGCCAAGAAAGGAGCUGCAGGUUUGGAUCGAUCAAGCAUUAUCACUGCAUGUUCUGUUACCAAGGCGCAAUCCCUUACUCUUCCAGGGAUGGCCAUCCCUCUUCCCAUCCCCCAUCAUAGGCACCCCACGCCCCAACACACACGCACACACACAUACACACCCCACAUUCCAACAAGAAGACUUUUUCUGGGGUAGGAGACAAGGAAAAAUACAAGAAGUCAAAGGAAACCCAUACCUGAGUAUCAGCUCCUCCCUAAGACAUAAAAAGAGCAGAAAACACCAAUUAUUACCUUGUCUUUAUUUUUUUUUUCCCAGCAGAAAGGAGGCUGACAUGAUCAAAGCAAUGUUUUAAAAUGAAACAAAAAAGGCAUCCAACGUCAUUUGUGGUCCAUUUAUUACAGUGCCAGGCUGACUUUCCUGGGCCAUCUAGAAGGAUGCAUGAUUGUUCCUUGACAUAUGAGGCUUUGACCAAUUUAAGUAACAGUCUCACUUAAUUGUAAUUAUUAGGGUGAGCCUAUUAGUGUUCUUCCUCAAUUUUUUUUUAAGUUACAUAUUUCUUGGUGUUCCCUUGUGAGAUCUGGCAUUGUGACUGCACAGCUUGGGUUACUGCUGUGGCAGGGGUUUGAUCCCUGGCCCAGGAACUUCCAUAUGUCAUAGGCACGGCCAAAGAAGUUAUACAUUUAUUCACCAAGUCAAAUGUCAUCAGUGAGUCAUCUUUAAUGAAGGAGAAUUUGUCCUUUCCUCAUUAAAUAUUUGAGAUCAAAAAUGUUAUACCAGGUCCUCCUUCAGAGGAGCUUGAAGGGUGCCAGCCUGUGAGAAUUUGGGAGAGGAUUAUCUGCCACUCUGAUACAGAGAAGUGAGUCACAGAACUGGAGCCCUGCCUUCAGCUAGGGACUCUGGUCUUUACCUCCUCUACCCCUGCUUCUGAAGCAUUAAAAAGCUCUCCUAAACUUCUGGGCGUUCUGUGGGUAUGUUUCAGCCAGGCUAACCCCUUUCCUGCCAAUACAGACUUCUCCAUGAAUUCUCUGAAGGUUACUGAGUCAGAGAGACAAAGUACAGCCAGAGGCUCCCAGCCUUUUAAUGCACUAACUGCCAACCAAAGGUUCUUCACAAACUUACAUUUCUAAACAAUGCUGCACAUGAAUAUGCAUUAAAACCUGUCCUCA
This 2377-nucleotide long non-coding RNA is filed under the name Sus scrofa (pig). Its description in RNAcentral is "lncRNA (ENSSSCG00065023878.1)". Lineage: Eukaryota; Metazoa; Chordata; Mammalia; Artiodactyla; Suidae. The record is from RNAcentral.